GGGCCGGUAGUCUAGUGGUAUGACGCCGCCCUCACGCGGCGGAGGUCGCGUGUUCAAUUCACGCUCGGCCCACCA
RNAcentral lists this transfer RNA (75 nucleotides) under Candidatus Hermodarchaeota archaeon. Its description in RNAcentral is "tRNA-Val". It matches the Rfam family "tRNA". From Rfam's summary of the family: Transfer RNA (tRNA) molecules are approximately 80 nucleotides in length. Their secondary structure includes four short double-helical elements and three loops (D, anti-codon, and T loops). The record is from RNAcentral. Lineage: Archaea; Promethearchaeati; Candidatus Hermodarchaeota.